Molecule: non-coding RNA, 674 nt
Organism: Pimephales promelas (fathead minnow)
Lineage: Eukaryota; Metazoa; Chordata; Actinopteri; Cypriniformes; Leuciscidae
Source: RefSeq, a predicted model, not a curated record
UACAUUUCAUGGUAGCCUAUUUAGGUAUAUCCACCUUAUUCCUAAUUUAAAAUGAACUAACAGCAGCAGAAAAGUCAAAGGACAGCCGACGACAGCCUUUCAACCUGAGUCAAAAACCAGUGAACGUAACUCUGAUUGGCUGAGGCAGCAUAUCGUCAUAAUCCAACCUGUAACGUCAGCCACUCUGAUUGGCUGAGGCAACGUGCCAGGCAUGUGGCGUGUUUUUUUAAGCAGAAAGUAACUACACAGAUAUUCAGCCUGCUUCGCCGUCAUGAUCGCUGGGGAACCCAUCUUUUCCUCUAAAUUGAAGGGGCUGUUAGGAGUGAGGUGUCCUUCGCUGAUGGGAGAAAAAACACCUAAAUAAGAUGCAGUGACUGAGACUGGGAGAUGCAGUGACUGAAACCUGGUGUGUUCCAGAAAAAGGUCCUGAAACUACUGGUCGACAUCCGCCAUCGCCUGAAGGAAACCAGAAGGGGUCAUGAAAUUCGGUUCCACAGCCACUGAGGUGUAUGUACAUCAAGGUGAACCUCAAGCACGCGUCGCAAAGACUUAAAUUCACUUCGCCCUGAUGAGCCAAGCCUACAGGACUUGAAUUAAGAGUUUUAAAGGGAUAGUUCACUUUGAAAUUAUUUUUUGAAAUGUUUUGGCUUACGUCAAGGGCAUCAGUCAGUCAU